RNAcentral lists this ribosomal RNA (253 nucleotides) under uncultured bacterium. RNAcentral's name for it is "partial 16S ribosomal RNA". It matches the Rfam family "Bacterial small subunit ribosomal RNA", at positions 524 to 776 of the family's 1533-position model. The record is from RNAcentral.
GACAGAGGGUGCAAACGUUGUUCGGAAUUACUGGGCGUAAAGCGCGUGUAGGCUGCUCGGAAAGUCGGAUGUGAAAGCCCUGGGCUCAACCUAGGAAGUGCAUUCGAAACUUCCGAGCUGGAGUUCUGGAGAGGAAGGCGGAAUUCUCGGUGUAGAGGUGAAAUUCGUAGAUAUCGAGAGGAACACCGGUGGCGAAGGCGGCCUUCUGGACAGUGACUGACGCUGAGACGCGAAAGCGUGGGGAGCAAACAGG